This 252-nucleotide ribosomal RNA is filed under the name uncultured bacterium. Its description in RNAcentral is "partial 16S ribosomal RNA". It matches the Rfam family "Bacterial small subunit ribosomal RNA", at positions 524 to 776 of the family's 1533-position model. The record is from RNAcentral.
UACGUAGGGGGCUAGCGUUAUCCGGAAUUACUGGGCGUAAAGGGUGCGUAGGUGGUUUCUUAAGUCAGAGGUGAAAGGCUACGGCUCAACCGUAGUAAGCCUUUGAAACUGGGGAACUUGAGUGCAGGAGAGGAGAGUGGAAUUCCUAGUGUAGCGGUGAAAUGCGUAGAUAUAUGGAGGAACACCGGUGGCGAAAGCGGCUCUCUGGCCUGUAACUGACACUGAGGCUCGAAAGCGUGGGGAGCAAACAGG